AUUCUAGUAGCUUAACCCUAAAGCAUUGGUCUUGUAAACCAAAGAUUGAAAACUAUAACCUUCCUAGAAUA
This 71-nucleotide transfer RNA is filed under the name Chelonia mydas (Green sea turtle). RNAcentral describes it as "tRNA-Thr". It matches the Rfam family "tRNA". From Rfam's summary of the family: Transfer RNA (tRNA) molecules are approximately 80 nucleotides in length. Their secondary structure includes four short double-helical elements and three loops (D, anti-codon, and T loops). Lineage: Eukaryota; Metazoa; Chordata; Testudines; Cheloniidae. The record is from RNAcentral.